This 255-nucleotide ribosomal RNA is filed under the name uncultured bacterium. Its description in RNAcentral is "partial 16S ribosomal RNA". It matches the Rfam family "Bacterial small subunit ribosomal RNA", at positions 524 to 776 of the family's 1533-position model. The record is from RNAcentral.
UACGGAGGGGGCUAGCGUUGUUCGGAAUUACUGGGCGUAAAGCGCACGUAGGCGGCUUUGUAAGUUAGAGGUGAAAGCCCAGGGCUUAACCCUGGAAUUGCCUUUAAGACUGCAUCGCUAGAAUCGUGGAGAGGUGAGUGGAAUUCCGAGUGUAGAGGUGAAAUUCGUAGAUAUUCGGAAGAACACCAGUGGCGAAGGCGGCUCACUGGACCGGCAUUGACGCUGAGGUGCGAAAAGCGUGGGGAGCCAAACAGG